AAUAUUGCACAAUGGGCGAAAGCAUGAUGCAGCAACGCCGCUUGAGCGAUGAAGGCUUNCGGGUCNUNAAUCACUGUUUAAAGGGNCAAUAAUGACGGUACCUUAGGAGGAAGCCCCGGCUAACUGCGUGCCAGCAGCCGCGGUAAUACGUAGGGGGCAAGCGUUAUCCGGAUUCAUUGGGCGUAAAGGGUGCGUAGGCGGCCCUAUAGGUCAGAGGUCAAAGGCUACGGCUCAACCGUAGUAAGCCUUUGAAACUGUAGGGCUUGAGUGCAGGAGAGGAGAGUGGAAUUCCUAGUGUAGCGGUGAAAUGCGUAGAUAUUAGGAGGAACACCAGUGGCGAAGGCGACUCUCUGGACUGCAACUGACGCUGAGGCACGAAAGCGUGGGGAGCAAAC
RNAcentral lists this ribosomal RNA (395 nucleotides) under uncultured bacterium. RNAcentral's name for it is "partial 16S ribosomal RNA". It matches the Rfam family "Bacterial small subunit ribosomal RNA", at positions 360 to 773 of the family's 1533-position model. The record is from RNAcentral.